This 30-nucleotide non-coding RNA is filed under the name Homo sapiens (human). Lineage: Eukaryota; Metazoa; Chordata; Mammalia; Primates; Hominidae. The record is from RNAcentral.
UCAGAUGUGAGUGACGUUCUGUGCCCAGUU